GACGAACGCUGGCGGCGCGCUUAACACAUGCAAGUCGAACGGAAAGGCCUGCUUUCCCUUGUGGAUUGCGGGUACUCGAGUGGCGAACGGGUGAGUAACACGUGAGUGAUCUGCCCCCAACUUGGGUAUAAGCCUGGGAAACUGGGUCUAAUUCCCGAUAGGACUGCAGGGUGGUGCCUGUGGUGGAAAACGAUUUUCUAGUGGUUGGGGAUGAGCUCGCGGCCUAUCAGCUUGUUGGUGGGGUAAUGGCCUACCAAGGCGGGGACGGGUAGCCGGCCUGGGAGAGUGGACGGCCACAGUGGGACUGAGAUACGGCCCAGACUCGUACGGGAGGCAGCAGUGGGGAAUAUUGCACAAUGGGCGGAAGCCUGAUGCAGCGACGCCGCGUGGGGGAUGACGGCCUUCGGGUGGUAAACUCCUUUCGACCGCGAGGAAGCCACCUGGUUGGAAGGGUGGUGACGGUAGUGGUAGAAGAAGCACCGGCUAACUACGUG
RNAcentral lists this ribosomal RNA (494 nucleotides) under uncultured bacterium. RNAcentral describes it as "partial 16S ribosomal RNA". It matches the Rfam family "Bacterial small subunit ribosomal RNA", at positions 28 to 507 of the family's 1533-position model. The record is from RNAcentral.